AAAUAAGAUUUAAUUUCUGUCCCUGGUUUAGGAGUGUGAACAGCUCACAAAACCGUUUCCCUGGAUACGACGUAGAGAGCAAGGAUGUAAAAUGAUAAAAAGGGGGAUUUUUUUUUCAAUAAAGCCAGAAGCCAGAGACUUCCACCGCUUGGCUAGUAGUCCACCGCUUGGCUAGUAUUAUUGAAUGUGCUGCUACGUACACUUGAAUUGUUUAGCUCAUUGAACAUCUCAACGCGAGCGGCGAGCGAAGAGGGAAAAGCCCUGACCAGAUUGAAGAGACAGACUAACCCUGAUGGGACCGGUUCAUGACCGGGGCAACGCCUAUCAAUGCAUCGCCGAGAACAAAACAAGACAGAAUCUCAAGAAGAAUCUCAAUGGGCUCCUGCACUCCUUGCAAGAAACGAGAAAGUCGUUUCUUGCAAGGAGUGCAGAUACAGCCAGAUACAGCCCUGACCAGAUUGAAGAAACAGACUCUGAGGAGGGACUCAGACUCAUGAUGUUGGGUCAAUAGCUCCACAAUCACGCUUUAUCUCUUGCGGUCUUUGUUCAUGUACGUACAGACGGAGGGCAGAUUACAUAAGGGAAACCACCUCCUGAUGGGACCGGUUCAUGACCGGGUCAACGCCUACCAAUGCAUCGCCGAGAACAGCUCAAUGGGCUCCUGCACUCCUUGCAAGAAACGGGAAAGUCCUCGAAGAGGACCAGAUACAGCCCUGACCAGAUUGAAGAAACAGACUCUGAGGAGGGACUCAGACUCAUGAUGUUGGGUCAAUAGCUCCACAAUCACGCUUUUUCUCUUGCGGUCUUUGUUCAUUAAUUUCAAAAGACCGCAAGAGAAAGGGACCAGCCCUCAGUCAGUGGAGUCUUCCAGCCAUGGUGACCAUUGUGCUCUCCCUCAGCCUUCCUUGAGACAGCUAGUGAUCGAUUUAGAGAGGAUUCCUGAGGGAAAUUACAAAGUAAAAUUCCACGAGGCAUUCAAGUCCCUCUUGGAAAACCACCCUGUGACACUGAGUGGUCAAAUCCCAAAAGUAAGACUCCGCAGGGACACCUCGGAGGCCAAUCAGCGGACGCUUUACACGCACUGGGCGAAAGAGCAAUUGGAAAUGCGUGUAAAACACACCCGUGAUCAAUUCAAUCGGAGGAGGCCAACGAAAGAGCGUGUCGACACAUGGGUCAAAAAGCAGGGAUGGAAGUGCAAGGCUGCCAACAGGGAGCGAAGAGGGAAAAGCCCAGCGGUCUUUGUUCAAAAGCCGUCCUUUAUGCUCCUUUCCUCACUCACAGUAGACUGGUUGUUGGAUGCAAAACAGAGCCUAGAUGUAAUGAGAUACAUAGGCGUCUUUUAUUAUAAUUCUGUAUUUCUGUAUUUUUCUUGUUUUUUUUCUUGUCACAGGUUUGCUUGUCACUGCUUAUUUAACUUAUCAAAACAUAUUUAUUGGUGA
RNAcentral lists this long non-coding RNA (1439 nucleotides) under Gadus morhua (Atlantic cod). Its description in RNAcentral is "lncRNA (ENSGMOG00000030316.1)". The record is from RNAcentral. Lineage: Eukaryota; Metazoa; Chordata; Actinopteri; Gadiformes; Gadidae.